This 376-nucleotide unclassified non-coding RNA is filed under the name uncultured Muribaculaceae bacterium. Its description in RNAcentral is "contains 16S-23S intergenic spacer region". The record is from RNAcentral. Lineage: Bacteria; Pseudomonadati; Bacteroidota; Bacteroidia; Bacteroidales; Muribaculaceae.
UCGCAGCUUGCGCCGGCAGUCCCGACAGAGUCCUCAACUUCGCUUGUUAGCAACUGUCGGUAGGGGUUGCGCUCGUUAUGGCACUUAAGCCGACACCUCACGGCACGAGCUGACGACAACCAUGCAGCACCUCGCAACCGGCCCCGAAGGGCUGACCGCUUUCGCGGACAUUCCAGUCACGUUUGAGCCCGGGUAAGGUUCCUCGCGUAUCAUCGAAUUAAACCACAUGUUCCUCCGCUUGUGCGGGCCCCCGUCAAUUCCUUUGAGUUUCACCGUUGCCGGCGUACUCCCCAGGUGGAAUGUUUAACGCUUUCGCUGUGCCACCCAACCCCGGAGGGUCGGACAGCUGACAUUCAUCGUUUACUGCGUGGACUAC